This 301-nucleotide ribosomal RNA is filed under the name uncultured bacterium. Its description in RNAcentral is "partial 16S ribosomal RNA". It matches the Rfam family "Bacterial small subunit ribosomal RNA", at positions 509 to 807 of the family's 1533-position model. The record is from RNAcentral.
CAGCCGCCACGGUAAUACGAAGGGUGCAAGCGUUAAUCGGAAUUACUGGGCGUAAAGCGUGCGUAGGCGGUGAGUUAAGUCUGCUGUGAAAUCCCCGGGCUCAACCUGGGAAUGGCAGUGGAUACUGGCUCGCUAGAGUGUGUCAGAGGAUGGUGGAAUUCCCGGUGUAGCGGUGAAAUGCGUAGAGAUCGGGAGGAACAUCAGUGGCGAAGGCGGCCAUCUGGGACAACACUGACGCUGAGGCACGAAAGCGUGGGGAGCAAACAGGAUUAGAUACCCGGGUAGUCCCUGUCUCUUAUAC